Long non-coding RNA from Balaenoptera ricei (Rice's whale), 2426 nucleotides. RefSeq lists it as uncharacterized. Lineage: Eukaryota; Metazoa; Chordata; Mammalia; Artiodactyla; Balaenopteridae. The transcript has 3 exons. The record is from RefSeq and is a predicted model, not a curated record.
AAGCCGCUCGAGACACCGACAAGCCGUCCUCCCCAAACUGCCCUCAUGUACCCCCUGGCCAGUAACGAGAAAAGGGGCCCUACCCAGGCUUCGUACUGCGGAAAACGAAAUCAGCAUUUUUUAGCGCCCUUAACAGAAACAGCUACCGUGACUUUGUUGGAGAGCGCCUACGAACGGCGCGAGCAUCUUCUCUAUGCUCCCAAGAACCGUCACUCUUCUAAGUUUGGAUCAGCUUCCAACAUUUAGUACUUCGUGCUUUCAAAGUCGGAAUAUCUCUGAGAAUUCCUUUGAAGUGAAGUUUUUAAUGGUGUCAUUUGCUCUGGGAUGUCUUUGUUCUCGUUGUCACAAUCACUUUCCUCGCUCCUCUUCACUCGGCUUCGGUCUGCAUCUCCAGAGCCUCUGCGAUGACAGCGGUGUCGACCUCCCCACAGUCAGCAUGGCCUCUACAGACGUCUGAUGGGAAUCUCACUUCCAGCACCAUCACUUUCACUGCUCUGCUGCAUUUCCAUCUUGGCUGAUGGAAGUUCCCUUUUUAAGUAUCCAUGUUUAUAAAAGGUCACAAGUUAUCACCUUGGGACAAGGAGGAAACACAACUCCAUGCUUCCCUGUCUCUGGGUGAACUGACUAGUAACUGUGCAGUGACCCAUCACUGUCAGAUUCUGAAUAAGGUGAUGUGACCGGUCAUCGGUCAAGAUGCACACCUGCUGUUUACUUAGUGAUUUAUGGGCUGAAGAACUAGCUAUGAGGUUUGCACUUCAUGCAACUAAAGCUAAUAUACUGCAGUAACUGAAAUUUGGACAGUGGCUUUAAGCAACUGGUUUUAUUCAGCUAAAACGUGUAACGGAAAUGGACGCAGAUUGGAACCCCAUAAAGCAAGGAGAAACGACGGGGCAGAAUUCAAAUGCACCAGACAGUUUUCUUCCAACUCCACGGGCUACAACAGAGUAUCUCCUAUUUGUUUAAGCUGGGGCAGCAAUCAAGUUCCUAAGGUUUGCAUGAACAUUCCGAGUUGAAAAAGACAUCUGAAUCUAGGAAACAUGAAACAUUCUGAAAAAUAACCACCCAUCAGGUAGUACAGCUAUGAUGAAACCCAGGUGCAUCCAGCUCCAGAACUUGUUCUCCAACCUUAGGUAACAUGCAGCCCAAAGCGAUUUUAUGAAAAUGGCCAAAGUCUUUGAAACAAGCCCUUCCUCGCCCCCAUACCAGAGCACCUAGUUCUACUGCUGCUUACAGCUCUCGGCUGCAACGUGGAUGGUUACCCAUUGGAGGAAGCUCUCAUCUCACGGGAAAGGCAAAGAAAAGACAGACUUCUUUUUCUGUACAGAACUGCUAGUACCCACUGCCUAAUACGUGCCAAUAAUAUGACAAUAAUAUUUUCUCCCAGGAUGACUGACUUUUCUAAAGCACAAGUCUGAUCAUGUUACUCUCUUCUUGAAGCUCUUUAAUAGUUUUGAAGUUUCUAGCCUGAGUGAUCAAUGUCCAUCCUGGUUCAUGGAAUGACCAACGUAUGAGGAGCAGUGCGUGUGGGAAGGCAGUGGACUUCGUGGAGAGUUCACCUCUAGAGGGGCAUUGCUCUGACCCUCUACAGAGACCUGUGGUCCACCAAAGGGCAGCCUUUAUUAGGGGGACAAGGGCCCGGCCAGACCUGCAGUCAUGGACCCAAGUGGAGAGCAGUCCCAUGGGGACGGGACUUGUGUGCCUCAGUUUCCUCCAGGUACAAGGAUCUGGACCAUGUUGAGAGGAUCAAGUGAGAAAAUCCAGGUAAAUGCUUCAAAGGGGGUGGAGGGCAUAGCAUGCGUCCAAUAGACGUCAGCUGCUGUGACUAUUACUGUCCAAGUUAUUAGCACUGCUCACGUGAGAACUCAGGCAGUGUCCUCUGCGAGGCCACGUGGACAAAAACUCAAGUCAACCUCUAUAAAGGAUGAGAGGAAAACACUGACUGACAUUCUUUCAGGGUGUGCACAGACCUUAGCCUUUAUUUUUAACAAAACUAGUUAACUGCAACUGAAUCUUGCGAACGGGUGACACAUCUGGGGAGAAGGACAGAAUCAUACUUCAGGUGCAACAAAGAACAAAAUUUUCUAAAAGAUGCCAUCAUGACAAAAAUACGUUUUUAAAGUAAAAAUUAGUUUCGGGCUUCCCUGGUGGCGCAGUGGUUAAGAAUCCGCCUGCCAAUGCAGGGGACACGGGUUCGUGCCCUGGUCCGGGAAGAUCCCACAUGCCACGGAGCAACUGGGCCCGUGAGCCACAACUACUGAGCCUGCGCGUCUGGAGCCUGUGCUCCGCAACAAGAGAAGCCGCGACAGUGAGAGGCCCGCGCACCACGAUGAAGAGUGGCGCCCGCUUGCCGCAACUAGAGAAAGCUCUCGCACAGAAACGAAGACCCAACACAUCCAAAAUUAAAAAAAAUUUAAAAAAAUUAAAAA